CCUACGGGGGGCAGCAGUGAGGAAUAUUGGUCAAUGGACGAGAGUCUGAACCAGCCAAGUAGCGUGAAGGAUGACUGCCCUACGGGUUGUAAACUGCUUUUAUAUGGGAAUAAAGUGCUCCACGUGUAGGGCUUUGUAUGUACCGUAUGAAUAAGGAUCGGCUAACUCCGUGCCAGCAGCCGCGUUAAUACGGAGGGUCCGGGCGUUAUCCGGAUUUAUUGGGUUUAACGGGAGCGUAGGCUGAAUGUUAAGCCAGUUGUGAAAGUUGCGGGCUCAACCGGAGCAUUGCAGUUGGAACUGGCGGUCUUGAGUCCACGAGAAGCGGGCGGAAUUCGUGGUGUAGCGGUGAAAUGCUUAGAUAUGACGAAGAACCCCGAUUGCGAAGGCAGCUCGCUGCAGCGGAACUGACGCUGAGGCUCGAAAGUGCGGGUAUCGAACAGGAUUAGAUACCCCAGUAGUC
RNAcentral lists this ribosomal RNA (460 nucleotides) under uncultured bacterium. RNAcentral's name for it is "partial 16S ribosomal RNA". It matches the Rfam family "Bacterial small subunit ribosomal RNA", at positions 338 to 795 of the family's 1533-position model. The record is from RNAcentral.